UACGAGUGCCCCAAGCGUUAUCCGGAAUUAUUGGGCGUAAAGGGUGUGUAGGCGGUUGUGAGUAGUCUUUCGUUAAAACCCCCGGCCUAACCGGGGAGGUGCGAAAGAAACGGCAUAACUAAGAGAGUGCGAGAGGUCUGUGGAACUCAUGGUGUAGGGGUGAAAUCCGUUGAUAUCAUGGGGAACACCAAAAGCGAAGGCAGCAGACUGGCGCAUAUCUGACGCUGAGACACGAAAGCGUGGGUAGCGA
RNAcentral lists this ribosomal RNA (250 nucleotides) under uncultured bacterium. RNAcentral describes it as "partial 16S ribosomal RNA". It matches the Rfam family "Bacterial small subunit ribosomal RNA", at positions 524 to 771 of the family's 1533-position model. The record is from RNAcentral.